Molecule: long non-coding RNA, 660 nt
Organism: Gallus gallus (chicken)
Lineage: Eukaryota; Metazoa; Chordata; Aves; Galliformes; Phasianidae
Source: Ensembl
GUCAGCUUCUGCAGAUAUGGUUUGAAAUCCAAACAGUAAGCUCAGGCAACAAGCACGCAGAGGGGAUACAUCAAAACAGAUGUAAUCUUUGUAGCAUGGGCCGUUCGUUGGCAACUGAAAGUUACUGCUGAUGCCCAUUGUGUUUCGGACCUGGGGUCAGAGGUGCUCCUGCUUUUCCCUCUGCCAGAUAAAAGCAUCAGUGGUGUCACAGUGCUCUUCGCAGAAACGCUCCCUCAGAGAAGGAUGGAAAUGUUGAGCUGUGUCUUUGUUCUGGAGCCCCAGUCUUUACCAAAAGCUUUGUGCUUGGCCACAGACAUGAAUAAAGGGAGCAAAGCACAGGCCCAGACCCAACAGGAAUGGCCUGGAAUUAGCGAAUGUAAAGACUCAGCUUUGAGUCAUGUUCUAGUAAAAAAUCAAAUGAUAAAAUAGGCUAGAGAAAGGAAGCAAUUGGGAAUGGCUGAAGAGGAUUCCCAGCUGUGCUUGCAAUCAGUGCAAUUCAUGACUCACAACAUGCUGGCCACAUCACUUCCCAGGAGCAACAUAUUCUCAUGAACAAGCAAAACAAGUCGGAGAGAAUCUUUAAAGGCUUUUUGGAUCGUUCAUGGCUCAGUUGUGAAAUCGCCUAUGAAGCAGCAGGCUGGCUUCAAGGGUCAGGGUGAU